AGAGUUGAUCCUGGCUCAGGAUGAACGCUAGCUACAGGCUUAACACAUGCAAGUCGAGGGGCAGCAGAUCGAUAGCUUGCUAUUGAUGCUGGCGACCGGCGCACGGGUGAGUAACGCGUAUCCAACCUUCCCUAUAGUAGAGGAUAGCCCGGCGAAAGUCGGAUUAAUACUCUAUGUUUUCCAAUGCAGACAUCUAAGUUGGAACAAAGGUUCACCGCUAUAGGAUGGGGAUGCGUCUGAUUAGGUAGUCGGCGGGGUAACGGCCCACCGAGCCAACGAUCAGUAGGGGUUCUGAGAGGAAGGUCCCCCACAUUGGAACUGAGACACGGUCCAAACUCCUACGGGAGGCAGCAGUGAGGAAUAUUGGUCAAUGGGCGAGAGCCUGAACCAGCCCAAGUAGCGUGCAGGAUGACGGCCCUAUGGGUUGUAAACUGCUUUUAUACGGGGAUAAAGUGAGGGACGUGUCCCUUUUUGUAGGUACCGUAUGAAUAAGGACCGGCUAAUUCCGUGCCAGCCGCCGC
This 521-nucleotide ribosomal RNA is filed under the name uncultured bacterium. RNAcentral's name for it is "bacterial SSU rRNA". It matches the Rfam family "Bacterial small subunit ribosomal RNA", at positions 8 to 518 of the family's 1533-position model. The record is from RNAcentral.